This 27824-nucleotide long non-coding RNA is filed under the name Vitis vinifera (wine grape). Its description in RNAcentral is "long non-coding RNA (VVIN_LNC002379)". The stretch from base 22076 to 22134 matches the Rfam family "tRNA", at positions 8 to 63 of the family's 71-position model. The record is from RNAcentral. Lineage: Eukaryota; Viridiplantae; Streptophyta; Magnoliopsida; Vitales; Vitaceae.
GUUGAGUUAGCUGCAGAGGAGGUUGAGGCAUCAAUGCAACAAUCUCAUCAUCUUUAAAGAUGGUAAAACAGAAAUAAAAUUUUUGAAGUAAAACAAUCUCUGAAAAAAAAAUAUUAAGUAAAUAAUGAAAAUUGAUUAAAAACAACAAGAAAAUGCCAUGCAGAAUUGGGUUUGAUGAUCCAUUUAUGCUUGGGUUGGAGAGGAGUGGUGACUUUUCUACUUUUAUUUUUUUGAAAUAUAAUAACCACUAGCAUGUUCUCUGUCUGUGGUUUAUUCAUGGUUGCAUCAAAUUAAAUCAAUCACCUUGUCUAAUCUUGUGACUGUGAAUGGUAGCUCCCAUGGCUGCAACCGGUGUGGCAGUGCAUUUAUAUUGGAAUGGAACAGCGAAGACCGAGAAAUACGAUGUUGUUUAUGAAGGUGAUGCCUAUUAAGCUCAACUAUGGAACUACGUAUGCUGGAUUGUUGGAUAAAAUCUACGCAACUACGGGCAUUAAGAGGAAGGAUUUUGAGUUGAACAUCAUAUGCAGAUAUCCUAUAUCUUCAAGGGAAUAUAAGCCCAUCCCAAUAAAGAAUGACGAGGCCGUAGAACUUAUGUUGGAAGUUCCAUGCAGAUCAUCUAGAGUCUACUGUGUAGAGAUAUAUUUGGAGAAAGAAGCAAGGCAAUGUGUGAAAAUCACGUUUCCGUGUUGAUCUCUGGACUGAUCUGCUCUCGACAUUGUAAUUUUAUUGUGUUGAAUUGGCUUCUAUAUCAAAUCAGUGAGUGUUAAGGGCUUGAAUUAAGUUUGGUAUGGCAUGAUAAUAUGUGAUCUAGUUUGCAUAAUUCUAAGGAAAAUGCAUAAUUCUAAAAUUUAUUUUUAUUUUUUUCUCUAUCUUGUAUAUGAAUAACCAAAUUCUAGAAAAAUUUUAUGAUUUUUGUUUAUUUUUUCUUUCUUUCUAUAAUUUUUAUUUUUUAUUUUUGUUCCCUCAUACCAUCUAGGAAUCAAAUGUAGUCUUUACAUGUCCACAGUUUAAUUAAGGAUUUAAAAAUAUAUAGAAUUUACAGUAGUGAAAAAAUUAAAAACCAUCCCGUGAAUGUUUAUCAUGCACCUCAUAUAUACAUAUCAUAUCCCAUAAUUACAUGUAAUCACAUUCACUAAUAAUAAUGUGUAAUCUAAUGCAUUAAAAAUAUUUAAACAUAAAUGUCAUAUAUGGAAAAUAUAUGUAAAUAAGUUCAAAAUUUUAUUAUUAAUUAAUUCCAUAAAGGUGUGGGGUAGAAUCCUUAGUUUAUCCUCUAAUUGAUCAAUAUACAAAAUAAAAUAACAUGACUUAGAAAAUUCACAUUAUCAUGUCUAAGUUUCUGAAAAUUUUGAAAAGAAUAGCUUAUGAACUAGCCAUUAUUAGUGCAUUCAUUCAUGAGGAUGAUCUAAAUAUUCAAGCACUUUGUGGGCUAGGCCCUAACUUCAAAGAUAUCUUCAUGCAUCCAUACACAAGGAUGAUCACCUAAGUGUAUCAUCUUGAGUGAUCCUAAAGAUAUGUGAUCAUGAAAUCUAAAGCCAUAAUAAUUUCUUAAGUGAAAUUUGACAUAUGCUCUUAUGAGUUAGAUCGAGUAUAUCGAUUGAUAACAUAGUAGGGGGAUUUGUAACUCAAGGAUUGAAAAGAUAAUCUUAAAAAGUUGAUAACAUAUAUUUCUUUAAAUUACACAUCAGUUUGUAGAGUUUGCAACGGUGGAUAGUAAAUCAUAAACUUAAGUUAUAUCUCAUUGUAAUUUCAUAGGAUAUUGGAAUGUAGUUGACUUUUUGUAGUAAGAUGUUGAAUCAACCUUAAAAUUGGAUUACGAGGGAACUGGUAUUUUUCUUGGUCCUAUUGGUUCCCAUUCAAGCUCUUAAUUCAUGGUGACACAAUUUUGAGGGUAUUUUUAAGUUUCUAAUUCAUAUGUAUGCAUAAGAGUAUUUUAAUAAAAAUAAAAAAUUGCACUUGAUCAUAUGAACGAUCCUUUUGGACUGUACUAAUUGAUUAGAGCCCAAUAGAGUUUGUUAAUUAAUUAGGACCUAAGUUGGCUAAAUAAGUAAGUUAAGUCCAAGCUAGACUCAAGUUACUUAAGCUCACAAGGAAGCCUACAUAAACCUCUUAAAGCUCCACUUUUGCACUCGUCUUUUAGAAUUCAAAGAUAAACCCCCAACCUCCCCCUCUAGAGAGAAGAUUUCCCUUUUCUGGUGUCUAGAUCAAUGAGAGUGAUAGGGCAAAAGGUUGCUUAGUUGGUGAGGCUUGCGAUUCACUCUACUUAACUUCAUCGAAUUGGAAUUGAUUUGGGAAUACCUAAAUCAUGUGUAUGAUCUCUCUUUUGUUUAGAUCUAUAUUAUUUAUGGUUUCAUUGCCAUGUUUUUUUUUUUGCUCCAAUUAGAUCUAGAGAACCCUAAGACUAGUAACAUGCAACUUGAAUGAUCUGGGGUUUGAAAUGGAGAGAUUCAAGGAUUCCCAAUAAUAAAGGUAUAAUUUUCUGCUUCUGUGUUGGAGCAUGAAACAAUGGGUUGUUUCUUGGAUUAUCAUGAUAUGUAGUUGCAACUAAAAGAUAUACAAUAUCCCAUUGCACUUAUUCUUGUGGUUAGACAACUAGCCUAGUCUACAUCGCAAAAACUAGGUAAUGUUAGUGCACUUUGAGCAGGAAAUUGUAAGCUAAAAGUUAAUGAGCCUUUGAGAUAAAUUAGCCACCAUCCCAUCACGUGCUAGUCAAGGAGGUAUCCCAUGUCCACAGUCUGCACCACCGUCUCUCGUACUGAUUCAUCUCCACCCAUCUUCAUCCAUGGCUAAGCAUUCUUCCAAAUAUAUAGUACCGGCCUAUUAUUGAUUUGGGUUGAAUUAUAUUAAUAUUGGGCCUCAAUAUUGUUUUUGAGUUUUGAAAAUAUUGGACUUGGGUUUAGUCUUGCACAAUUAUCUACUUGGUUUUAUUUGGAACUUUAGGUUAUGAUACUCAGCUAUAAUUUUUGGCUUUCUUGCUUCGGCCUAGUAUUUUGAGAAGUCGAGUUUGGGCAUGUUUUCUUAGACUGUAUUGACUUCUAUUGGGCUAUACCUUGUUUUAUUUUGCAUGGGUGUUGUUCAUUGGUUGAGGUCGUUAUUGGAGGGAGCUAUGAUGUGCACCACGUGUAGGGCUAGAUUUCAUGGAAGAAAGGAAUGUUCGGGAAGCUGUAGUUAAGGGCAUGGAACCCUAGGCAGCUAAGGGGAGGGGAGGACAACUCACCUACUCUAGGAUUUUCGCUAAGACUUUUACAAGGUGCCCUUUUUUUUUUUUUUUUUUUUCAGAAAAUGAUUUUGAAGAAAAAGGAUCCAAAAACUGGUUUUAAUAAACACUAGAAAAUUAUUUUUCAUUAAGAACAAUCCAGGACAUUAUUUUUUGAAUAAAAACAGUACAAUUUUUUUAUUAAAUAAAAAUAUUUUAGAAAAUAUUUUUAUUAAUAAAAAAUAUUCCAUAUAUAUAUUCUUUUAAAAGGUUCAAAAAUCAUUUUUCAAAUAAAUGUAAAGUUCCAAAAAAAUCAUCUUAGAAAGUUCUAAAAAAAUAUGUUUUUUUUUAAGUUAAAAAAUUGUUUUUUUUUAAAGUUAAAAAAAUUGAUUUUAAUAAAAUUUCAUAAAAAUCCAAAAAUUUGUUUUUAAUAAACUGUCCAGAAAUUUUUUUUAUAUAUAUAAUAAAAAUGUCCAAAUUUUUUUUAUCUAAUAAAAAAAUAAUUUUGGUAAAUAAAAAAAAAAUUUGAAGUUUCUUUUGUAAAUAAUUUUGAAAUGUCUUUGCCCCUAUUAAAAAUCUUUUUUACUAAUAAAAUUGAGUUGAGCAUAUUUUUUGUAUAAAAUUUGUAAAAAAAUCAUCUUCCCGAUAAAAUUGAAUUGAAAUCUUCUUUUAUAAUUAAGGGAAAAUCAUCAAACCAUACACCAAUUACAAAAAAUAUGAGAAUUUGGAACUUCACUUUUUUCUUUUUAAUUUUGGUGUAAAAUGGGAAAAAAUAUUGUCUAUUCAUGCACUCCAAUAGUGCUUUCAAAUUUAUUCCACAAUUACCCUCAAAAGUAAAGGACAAAGUACACACCAAUUUAAUACCACAUGUUAACAAGUACAUGUAUCAUUUAUUUUUUUAUUAUUUUUCUCAAAUCAAUAAAUAUCCCUUGCCACUUGUCACGUUUCCACUUUUUACUUUUUUCUUCUUUUUUUCCUAUUCUACCAUCAUAAUCCAUUGUCACCUAUUAUAAGUUUUAUUAUUAUUUUUCUUUUCUUUUUUCCUUUAUAUUCUUUUUAACAUGCUCGUGCAUUUUCUCAUAAAACUUCUUUAAUUUUAAUUUAUUUUUACUCUCUAAGUUAUCUAUAUUUAUUGAUUUUAAUUAUUUUUUUAACAUAUUAAACUUAAAAUGAUAAUAUAUAAUAAAUAAUUAAUAUAACAAAUUAAAUAAAAACAAAAUAUAUAAUGGACAAAAAUGAAAAUAUUAUCCCACAAAUAAUAAUGAUUUUAAAUAUUAAUUAUAAUAAUACAUUUUAUAAAUUAAGGUUUAAAUUUAAAAAUUCCAUUUUAUUAUUUAGAACUUUAUGAUAUAAGACUUUUUAUAUUAAUACUAAACAAAAGAUUUAUUUAUUUCGUAAAUUCUAUCACAUGUAAAAGUAAAAAUAUCAUUGCAAUACUAUUUUAUUAUUUACAUUAUUUUUCUUUUAAUUUUUAUUUUAAAUUUAUCAUAUAAAAAUCACAAUAAGUGAUGAUGCUUUUAUCAUUUUUCUUAUGAUUUUAAAUUGAUUGUGGAUCUAACUUUUUUUGGGUUAAAAUCUUUAAUUUUUAAUUAAAAUAAAAUAUAAAAGAAAAUCUAUUUUUCAUAAAAAAAUUGUAUUUAACCUUUUAUAUUAAUCUCAUAAAAAAUAGGUACAUCCUUAAAAAAAAAAAAGGUAAAUUAAUGCUUAGGAGAACCGGAAACACUAUCAUACUUAUCAUGAUGUAUAUAUUCCUUUGGGACCCUCGAUAAGUAAUUGGAGGUAUUUGCCCACCCCAAAAAGAACUUUGGGAUCCUAGGUAUAUCCAUUCUUAGAAGAACCAAGACCUCUAUUUUCAUUUUCAUGGUUCAUAUAUUCUUUUGGGGACCCUUGAAAAAGAAUUAGAGGUUAUUCCCCACCCUAAAACGGACAUUGGAACCCAAGGUACAUCUUAAAAACAAUUUGGUAUAUCAUUUAUAAAAUUUGGUACAUAUUUUAUAAAAUUUGGCACAUCCUUAAAACAAUUUUGUACAUCCAAUCCAUGAGCUACCAAGACCUCUAUAUUAUUAACCGUGGUUCGUUUUAUUUCUUUAGGGAUCUUUAGGAAGUAAUUAGAGGUCGUUCCCUACUCCAAAACGAACUUUGGAACUCUAGGUACAUCCUUAAGUAAAUUUGGUGCAUCGUUAAGAAAUUUUGGUAUAUCAAAUCCUCGGGCUAUCGAGACCCUUAUCUAUCUUCCCAUGGUCCAUAUUAUCCGUUGAGGACCAUUAGGCAGUGAUUGAAGGUCAUUCCCCACAUCGGAACGAACUUUGGCACUUUUGGUACAUCCUUUAAAAAAUUUGGUUCAUCCUUAAAAAUAUUUGGUACAUACUUGAGCUAUUGAAACCUCUAUCUUAUUACCCAUGGUCCGUUUAUUCCUUUAGGGAUCUUUGGGAAGUGAUUGGAGAUCGUUCCUUACUCCGAAAUGGACUUUGGAACCCUAGGUACAUAAUUGAGAAAAUUUGAUACAUCCAAUCCUUGAGCUAACGGAACACUUAUCUCCAUUUCCAUAGUCCAUUUUUUCCUUUGGAGACCCUCAAGAAGUUAUUGAAGGUCGUUUCCCACCUCAUAACAGACUUUGGCAACAUUGGUAUAUCAUUUACAAAAUUUGGUACAUCAUUUAUAAAAUUUGGUACAUCCUUCACAAAAUUUGGUACAUUAUGAAGGAUAAACCAAAUUUUGGGCAUGAUGUACCAAGGGUUCCAAAGUGCAUUCCGAGGUGGGGAUCGACUCUCAAUCACUUUCUUAUGGGUUUCUAAAUGAAAUUAUGGACAAUCUAUGUUCAGAUAGGGUUCUCAAAAGCGAUGGGAUCGAAUGUACCAAAUUUAAUGAAGGAUGUACCAAGCAUUCCAAGGUAGGGAUCAACCCCCAAUCACAUCCUUAUGGGUUCCAAAAUGAAAUCAUGGACCAUUCAUGUUCAGAUGGGGGUCCCGAAAACAAUAGGAUCGGAUAUACCAAAUUUAAUAAAGAAUGUAUCAAAUUUUGUGCAGGAUGUACCAACGGUUCCAAAGUACGUUCCGAGGUGGGGAUCGGCCCCCAAUCACUUCCUUAUGGGUUCCAAAAUGAAAUCAUGGACCAUCCAUGUUCAGAUGGGGGAGCCAGAAGCAAUAGGAUCGGAUGUACCAAAUUUUGUGAAGAAUGUAUCAAGGGUUCCAAAGUGCGUUUUGAGGUGGGGAUCAACCCCCAAUCACUUUCUUAUGGGUUUCUAAAUGAAAUUAUGGAUCAUCCAUGUUUAAAUGGGGGUCUCGGAAGCGAUAGGAUCAAAUGUACCAAAUUUUGUGAAUGAUGUACCAAGGGUUCCAAAGUGCGUUUCGAGGUGGGGAUCGACCCCCAAAUAAUUUCUUGUGGGUUCUAAAAUGAAAUUAUGUACGAUCCAUGUCCGAAUGGGGAUCCCGUAAACGAUAGGAUCGGAUGUACCAAAUUUAAUAAAGGAUGUAUCAAAUUUAAUGAAGGAUGUACCAAAUUUUGUGAAGAAUGUACGAAGGGUUCCAAAUUGCAUUCCGAGGUGGGGAUCGACCCCCAAUCACUUUCUUAUGGGUUUUCAAAUGAAAUUAUGGACCAUCGAUGUUCAGAUGGGGGUACCGAAAGUGACAGGAUCAGAUGUACCAAAUUUAAUGAAGGAUAUACCAAAUUUUGUGAAAGAUGUACCAAAUUUUGUGAAUGAUGUACCAAGGGUUCCAAAGUGUGUUCCGAGGUGGGGAUCGGCCCCAAAUAACUCUCUUAUGGGUUUCUAAAUGAAAUUAUGGACCAUCCAUGUUCAGAUGGGGGUCCCGGAAGCGAUAGGAUCGAAUGUACCAAAUUUUGUGAAGGAUGUACCAAGGGUUCGAAAAUGCGUUCCGAGGUGGGGAUCGACCCCCAAACACUUCCUUAUUGGUUCCAAAAUGAAAUUAUGAACUAUCCUUAUUCAGAUGGGGGUCCCAGAAGCGAUAGGAUCGGAUGUACCAAAUUUAAUGAAGGAUAUACCAAAUUUUGUGAAGAAUGUACCAAGGGUUCCAAAGUGCGUUUCGAGGUGGGGAUUGACCCCCAAUAGCUUUCUUAUGGGUUUUUAAAUGAAAUUAUGGACCAUCCAUGUUCACAUGGGGGUCCCGAAAGCGAUAGGAUCGCAUGUACUAAAUUUUGUGAAUGAUGUACCAAGGGUUCUAAAGUGCGUUUUGAGGUGGGGAUCGACCCCCAAACACUUCCUUAUGGGUUCCAAAAUGAAAUUAUGUACCAUCCAUGUUCAACUGGGGUCCCAGAAGCGAUAGGAUCAGAUGUACCAAAUUUAAUGAAGGAUGUACCAAAUUUAAUGAAUGAUGUACGAAAUUUUGUGAAGGAUGUACGAAGGGUUCCAAAUUGCGUUCCGAGGUGGGGAUCGACCCCCAAUCACUUUCUUAUGGGUUUCUAAAUGAAAUUAUGCACCAUUGAUGUUCAGAUGGGGGUUUCGAAAGCGACAGGAUUAGAUGUACCAAAUUUAAUGAAGGAUGUACCAAAUUUUGUGAAAGAUGUACCAAAUUUUGUGAAUGAUGUACCAAGGGUUCCAAAUUGUGUUAUGAGGUGGGAAUCGACCCCAAAUAACUUUCUUAUGGGUUUCUAAAUGAAAUUAUGGACCAUCCAUAUUCAGAUAGGGGUCCCAGAAGCGAUAGGAUCGAAUGUACCAAAUUUUGUGAAGGAUGUACCAAGAGUUCAAAAAUGCGUUCCGAGGUGGGGAUCGGCCCCCAAACACUUCUUUAUUGGUUCCAAAAUGAAAUUAUGGACUAUCCAUAUUCAAAUGGGGGUCUCAGAAGCGAUAGGAUCGAAUGUACCAAAUUUAAUGAAGGAUGUACCAAAUUUAAUUAAGGAUGUACCAAAUUUUGUGAAGGAUGUACCAAGGGUUCCAAAGUGCAUUUCGAGGUAGGGAUCAACCCCCAAUAGCUUUCUCAUGGGUUGCUAAAUGAAAUUAUGGACCAUCCAUAUUCAGAUGGUGGUCCCAGAAGCGAUAGGAUCGGAUGUACCAAAUUUGUGAAUGAUGUACCAAGGGUUCCAAAAUGCGUUCCGAAGUGGGGAUCGGCCCCCAAUCACUUUCUUAUGGGUUUCUAAAUGAAAUUAUGGACCAUCGAUGUUCAAAUGGGGGUCCUGGAAGCGACAGGAUCGGAUGUACCAAAUUUUGUGAAUGAUGUACCGAAGGUUCCAAAGUGCGUUAUGAGGUGAGGAUCGACCUCCAAUCACUUUUUUAUGGGUUUUUAAAUGAAAUUAUGGACAAUCCUUGUUGAGAUGGGGGUCCCAGAAGCAAUAGGAUCAGAUGUACCAAAUUUAAUGAAGAUUGUAUCAAAUUUAAUUAAUGAUGUACCAAAUUUUGUAAAGGAUGUACCAAAGGGGCCAAUGUCCGUUCCGAAGUAGGGAACGAUCUCUAAUCACUUUCUAAGGUUGUCCAAAGAAAUAAAUGAAACAUAAGAAGGAUGUUAGGUGUGUUGUUAGCUCGAGGAUUGGAUGUAUCAAAUUUUCUUAAGAAUGUAUCUAGGGUUUCAAAGUCUAUUUCAGAGUAGGAAACAACCUCCAAUCACUUUCCAAAGAUCCUUUAAGGAAUUAAUGGACCAUGGGUAAUAAGAUAGGGGUCCUGGUAGCUCAAGGAUUAGAUGUACCAAUUUUUUGGUAUAGAGAUUCAAUUGGUACCAUUUUAUAAUACAUAUUGAAAUUUAUGUGAAUGAAACAAAAUAUACUAGCUAGUUUCCUGUAAUGAGGUAAAUAAAAAAAGUAGUUAAAAAUAAAAAAAAUAUAAAUAAAAUAAUAAUAUAGAUUUAAAAUAAAAAAAUUUAAAAAUGAACAAUUUUUUUUAAAUGAUAAAUAUUUUAAAAAAAAAAUCUAUGAUUUUAAAUCAACAAGCAAUCAUUUCCAUUGCUUAUUUCAUAUGAAUGUCAAGGGCCAACCUUUCAAGCUAUCAACAUGCCUCCAUUUGCCUUACUACCCAACCCACACUUCAAAUCUAGUCAUCCUAAAGGCAUGCCUCUGACAAAGAGUCAUGCCUAUAUUUUUUCCUACUGCACAUAACUUAACAAAAAUAAGUUUUUCACCCACAUUCAUGCAUCUUCCAUGAAGCUUGUGCUCUUGACUAGUGCACAUAGCCUACCGAUAUAAUGGUUUCAGCAAUAGGCAUGCCUCUAAAAUCAAGGGUGUGCCCCUAGUUUGCAUACUGCAUAUAGUACACCAAAAUAAUGUUAUCAUGCCCAUGGGCAUGCCAAUGCAACGAAGGGUGCACCCCUACUUUACUUUCUGCAUGUGGCAUAGUAAUAUAAUGUCAUUUACAGGCAUGCCUUUCAAAUGGAAGGUGCGCCCCUAGAUUGUCUUCUACACAUAACAUACCAAACUAAUGUUAUUGUACAAAGAAAAUUCCAUUGAAUCUAAGGGUACAAUGUAAAUGUUCGAAUGCCUUCCGAAGGUGUUAAUGGGCCAACCUCCCUUUUACUGACUUCUCACAUAAUAUGAAUCAAUCCCCACCUUAACAAUUUGGCACAUCCUUCACAAAAUUUGGUACACCCGAUCCUAUCGCUUCCGGGACCCCCAUUCGAACAUGGAUAGUACAAAAUUUCAUUUUGGAACCCAUAAGGAAGUGUUUGGGGGCCGAUCCUCACCUCAAAACACACUUUGGAACCCUUGGUACAUCAUUUACAAAAUUUGGUACAUCCUUCACAAAAUUUGGUAACAUCCUUCAUUAAAUUUGGUACAUCCGAUCCUAUCGCUUCCGGGAUCCCCAUCUGAACAUGAAUGGUCCACAAUUUCAUUUAGAAACCCAUAAGAAAGUGAUUUGGGGCCGAUCCCCACCUCGAAACACACUUUGGAACCCUUGGUACAUCAUUCACAAAAUUUGGUACAUCCUUCAUUAAAUUUGGUACAUCCUAUCCUGUCACUUCCAAAACCUCCAUCUGAACAUCGAUGGUCCAUAAUUUCAUUUAGAAACCCAUAAGAAAGUGAUUGAGGGCCGAUCCCCACCUCGGAACGCAAUUUGGAACCCUUGGUACAUCCUUCACAAAAUUUGGUACAUCCUUCAUUAAAUUUGGUACAUCCUUUAUUAAAUUUGGUACAUCCCAUCCUAUCACUUUCGGGACCCCCAUUCNAACAUGGAUGGUACAUAAUUUCAUUUUGGAACCCCUAACGAAAUAUUUGGGGGUCCAUCCCUACCUCGAAACAGCACUUUGGAACCCUUGGUANNNNNNNNNNNNNNNNNNNNNNNNNNNNNNNNNNNNNNNNNNNNNNNNNNNNNNNNNNNNNNNNNNNNNNNNNNNNNNNNNNNNNNNNNNNNNNNNNNNNUGGAACCUUUGGGACAUCCUUCACAAAAUUUGGGUACAUCCUUCAUUAAAUUUGGUACCAUCCUUUAUUAAAUUUGGUACAUCCGAUCCUAUCACUUUCAGGACCCCCAUUUGAACUAUGGAUGGUACAUAAUUUCAUUUUGGAACCCAUAAGGAAGUAUUUGGGGGUCGAUCCCUACCUCGAAACGCACUUUGGAACCCUUGGUACAUCAUUCACAAAAUUUGGUACAUCCGAUCCUAUCGCUUCUGGGACCACUAUCUGAACAUGGAUGGUUCAUAAUUUCAUUUAGAAACCCAUGAGAAAGCUAUUGGGGGUCGAUCCCCACCUUGACGCACACUUUAGAACCCUUGAUACAUUCUUCACAAAAUUUGGUAUAUCCUUCACAAAAUUUGGUACAUCCUUCAUUAAAUUUGGUACAUUCAAUCCUAUUGCUUCCGGGAUCCCCAUUUGAACAUGAAUGGUCCAUAAUUUCAUUUAGAAACCCAUAAGAAAGUGAUUUGGGGUCGAUCCCCAUCUCGGAACACACUUUGGAACCCUUGGUAUAUCAUUCACAAAAUUUGGUACAUCCUUCACAAAAUUUGGUACAUCCUUCAUUAAAUUUGGUACAUCUGAUCCUGUUACUUCCAGAACCCCCAUCUGAACAUUGAUGGUCCAUAAUUUCAUUUAGAAACCCAUAAGAAAGUGAUUGAGGGUCAAUCCCCACCUCGGAACGCAAUUUGGAACCCUUCGUACAUCCUUCACAAAAUUUGGUACAUCCUUCAUUAAAUUUGGUACAUCCAAUCCUAUCACUUUCGGGACCCCCAUUCGAACAUGGAUGGUCCAUAAUUUCAUUUUGGAACCCAUAAGGAAGUAUUUGGGGGUCCAUCCCUACCUCAAAACGCACUUUGGAACCCUUGGUACCUCAUUCACAAAAUUUGGUACAUCCGAUCUUAUUGCUUCUAGGACCACCAUCUGAAUAUGGAUGGUCCAUAAUUUCAUUUAGAAACCCAUGAGAAAGCUAUUGGGGGUCGAUCCCCACCUCGAAACACACUUUGGAACCCUUGGUACAUCCUUCACAAAAUUUGGUACAUCCUUAAUUAAAUUUGGUACAUUCGAUCAUAUCGCUUCCGGGAUCCCUAUCUGAAUAUGAAUGGUCCAUAAUUUCAUUUAGAAACCCAUAAGAAAGUGAUUGGGGGUCGAUCCCCACCUUGGAACGCAAUUUGGAAGCCUUCGUACAUCCUUCACAAAAUUUGGUACAUCCUUCAUUAAAUUUGGUACAUCCUUUAUUAAAUUUGGUACAUCCGAUUCUAUCACUUCCGGGACCCCCAUUCGAACAUGGAUGGUCCAUAAUUUCAUUUUGGAACCCAUAAGGAAGUAUUUGGGGGUCCAUCCCUACCUCGAAACGCACUUUGGAACUCUUGGUACCUCAUUCACAAAAUUUGGUACAUCUGAUCCUAUCGCUUCUGGGACCACCAUCUGAAUAUGGAUGGUCCAUAAUUUCAUUUAGAAACCCAUGAGAAAGCUACUGGGGGUCGAUCCCCACCUCGAAACACACUUUGGAACCCUUGGUACAUCCUUCACAAAAUUUGGUACAUCCUUAAUUAAAUUUGGUACAUUCGAUCCUAUCGCUUUCGGGAUCCCUAUCUGAAUAUGAAUGGUCCAUAAUUUCAUUUAGAAACCCAUAAGAAAGUGAUUGGGGGCCGAUCCCCACCUCGGAACGCAAUUUGGAAGCCUUCGUACAUCCUUCACAAAAUUUGGUACAUCCUUAAUUAAAUUUGGUACAUCCUUCAUUAAAUUUGGUACAUCCUUUAUUAAAUUUGGUACAUCCGAUCCUAUCGCUUUUGGGACCACCAUCUGAACAUGGAUGGUCCAUAAUUUCAUUUAGAAACCCAUGAGAAAGCUAUUGGGGGUCGAUCCCCACCUCGAAACGCACUUUGAAACCCUUGGUACAUCCUUCAUAAAAUUUGGUACAUCCUUAAUUAAAUUUGGUACAUCCUUAAUUAAAUUUGGUACAUCCUUCAUUAAAUUUGGUACAUCUGAUCCUAUCACUUCUGGGACCCCCAUCUGAAUAUGGAUAGUCCAUAAUUUCAUUUUGGAACCAAUAAGGAAGUGUUUGGGGGCCGAUCCCCACCUCGGAACGCAUUUUCGAACCCUUGGUACAUCCUUCACAAAAUUUGGUACAUCCGAUCCUAUCGCUUCCGAGACCCCCAUCUGAACAUGGAUGGUCCAUAAUUUCAUUUAGAAACCCAUAAGAAAGUGAUUGGGGGUUGAUCCCUACCUCAAAACGCACUUUGGAACCCUUGGUAUAUCCUUCACAAAAUUUGGUACAUUCGAUCCUAUUGCUUCUGGCUUCCCCAUCUGAACAUGAAUGAUCCAUGAUUUCAUUUUGGAACCCAUAAGGACGUGAUUGGGGGUUGAUCCCCACCUCGGAACGCAUUUUGGAACCGUUGGUACAUCCUUCACAAAAUUUGAUAUUAUUAAAUUUGGUAUAUCUGAUUCUAUUGUUUUCGGGACCCCCAUCUGAACAUGAAUGGUCCAUGAUUUCAUUUUGAAACCCAUAAGGAUGUGAUUGGGGGUUGAUCCCUACCUUGGAACGCUUGGUACAUCCUUCACAAAAUUUGGUACAUCAUUCAUUAAAUUUGGUACAUCCGAUCUCAUUGCUUUCGAGAACCCCAUCUGAACAUAGAUUGCCCAUAAUUUCAUUUAGAAACCCAUAAGAAAGUGAUUGGGGGUCGAUCCCCACCUCGGAACGCACUUUGGAACCCUUGGUACAUCAUGCCCAAAAUUUGGUACAUCCUUCAUAAUGUACCAAAUUUUGUGAAGGAUGUACCAAAUUUUAUAAAUGAUGUACCAAAUUUUGUAAAGGAUAUACCAAUGUUGCCAAAGUUCGUUAUGAGGUGGAGAACGACCUUCAAUAACUUCCUGAGGGUCUCCAAAGGAAAAAAUGGACUAUGGAAAUGGAGAUAAGUGUUUCGUUAGCUCAAGGAUUGGAUGUAUCAAAUUUUCUCAAUUAUGUACCUAGGGUUCCAAAGUCUAUUUCGGAGUAGGGAACGAUCUCCAAUCACUUCCCAAAGAUCCCUAAAGGAAUAAACGGAUCAUGGGUAAUAAGAUAGAGGUUUCAAUAGCUCAAGUAUGUACCAAAUAUUUUUAAGGAUGAACCAAAUUUUUUAAAGGAUGUACCAAAAGUGCCAAAGUUCAUUCCAAUGUGGGGAAUGACCUUCAAUCACUACCUAAGGGUCCUCAAAGGAUAAUAUGGACCAUGGGAAGAUAGAUAGGGGUCUCAAUAGCCCGAGGAUUGGAUGUACCAAAAUUUCUUAACGAUGCACCAAAUUUACUUAAGGAUGUACCUAGAGUUCCAAAGUUCGUUUUGGAGUAGGGAACGACCUCUAAUUACUUCCUAAAGAUCCCUAAAGAAAUAAAACGAACCACGGGUAAUAAUAUAGAGGUCUUGGUAGCUCAUGGAUUGGAUGUACAAAAUUGUUUUAAGGAUGUGCUAAAUUUUAUGAAAUAUAUACCAAAUUUUAUAAAUGAUAUACCAAAUUGUUUUUAGGAUGUACUUUGGGUUCCAAUGUCCGUUUUAGGGUGGGGAAUAACCUCUAAUUCUUUUUCAAGAGUCCCCAAAGGAAUAUAUGAACCAUGAAAAUGAAAAUAGAGGUCUUGGUUCUUCUAAAAAUGGAUAUACCUAGGAUCCCAAAGUUCUUUUUGGGGUGGGCAAAUACCUCCAAUUACUUAUCGAGGGUCCCAAAGGAAUAUAUACACCAUGAUACGUAUGAUAGUGUUUACGGUUCUCCUAAGCAUUAAUUUACCUUUUUUUUUUUUUUUUUAAGGAUGUACUUAUUUUUUAUGAGAUUAAUAUAAAAGGUUAAAUACAUUUUUUUUUUAUGAAAAAUAGAUUUUUUUUAUAUUUUAUUUUAAUUAAAAAUUAAAGAUUUUAACCCAAAAAAAGUUAGAUCCACAAUCAAUUUAAAAUCAUAAGAAAAAUGAUAAAAGCACCAUCACUUAUUGUGAUUUUUAUAUGAUAAAUUUAAAAUGAAAAUUAAAAGAAAAAUAAUGUAAAUAAUAAAAUAGUAUUGCAAUGAUAUUUUUACUUUUACAUGUGAUAGAAUUUACAAAAUAAAUAAAUCUUUUUUUUAGUAUUAAUAUAAAAAAUCUUAUAUCAUAAAGUUCUAAAUAAUAAAAUGGAAUUUUUAAAUUUAAACUUUAAUUUAUAAAAUGUAUUAUUAUAAUUAAUAUUUAAAAUCAUUAUUAUUUGUGGGACAAUAUUUUCAUUUUUGUCCAUUAUAUAUUUUGUUUUUAUUUAAUUUGUUAUAUUAAUUAUUUAUUAUAUAUUAUCAUUUUAAGUUUAAUAUGUUAAAAAAAUAAUUAAAAUCAAUAAAUAUAGAUAAAUUAGAGAGUAAAAAUAAAUUAAAAUUAAAGAAGUUUUAUGAGAAAAUGCACGAGCGUGUUAAAAAGAAUAUAAAGGAAAAAAGAAAAGAAAAAUAAUAAUAAAACCUAUAAUAGGUGACAAUGGAUUAUGGUGGCAGAAUAGGAAAAAAAGAAGAAAAAAGUAAAAAGUGGAAACGUGACAAAUGGUAAGGGAUAUUUAUUGAUUUGAGAAAAAUAAUAAAAAAUAAAUGACACAUGUACUUGUUAAUAGGUGGUAUUAAAUAGUUGUGUACUUUGUCCUUUACUUUUGAGGGUAAUUGUGGAAUAAAUUUGAAAGCACUAUUGGAGUGCAUGAAUAGACAAUAUUUUUUUUCCAUUUUACACCAAAAUUAAAAAGAAAAAAGUGAAGUUUCAAAUUCUCAUAUUUUUUGUAAUUGGUGUAUGGUUAGAUGAUUUUCCCUAUAAUUAAACGAGUGAAAAUUCUUUGUUUGUGAAUAGAAAUUGACUUAAUACUUUUUGAAUAAAAUUAUAGAACUCUAUUUUUAAUAAAAAUAAUCAAAAUCAAUUUCUUUGUAAAUAAAAUCAAAUUAGAAUAUUUUUUGUAAAUAAAUUUGUACAUUUAAAAAAAAAAAUUUCAAAAAAUUCAUUUUUUUUUAAAAUAAAAAUAAAUUUGAUUUGGAAUGUUUCUUGAAAAUAAAUUUGUAAAUAUUUUUUUAAUUUUGUAGUGAAUCACUUCUCUUAAAUAAAAUUUGAAAUAAAAUAUAUUCUUGAAAAUAAAAAUGGUAAAAAAUCAUUUUGGUAAAAGUAAAUAAAAUAAAUAAAAAUCAUCUCCUUGUAAAUAAAAUCAAAUUUACAUUUGUCUCUCUAAAUGAAAUUGUACUUAAUAACUUCUUUUAAUAAAAACAAGAAACAGUCUUUCAAAAUAAAUUUAAAUCUAAAUAAAAUAAAAUAUUUUGAUAAAUAAAUGGAAGCUUUGUGAAUAAUCAAGUUGGUUUUUAAUAUGAAAAAAAAUCUUUCAAAAUUUCUUAAAAUUGUAUUAUGAUAUUUGAAAUAAUAAAGUCUUUAUAAUAUAUUUGUGUAAUUCACUUUUAUCAUUGUUUUGAUGUACUUUUUUUUUAUUCUUCUGUGGUAUCCAUGAUUUACAAACUAAUUGCCAUACUCCACACUUGCUUACUAGAAAGGUCUUUUUCUUAGGGCUUAGAAGGGUGUUAUGACUUAUCAUCAUAACUUCUGGAUGGGUAACCUGAUCUCUAAAUCCGUUUUUGAUUUAUAGACUUGUCUUUUUUCCAAAUAAGAAAUCACAUAAAGUUUUCUUUCUUAUUUUGUUUUCUUUUUUUAAAAAUAAAGUAAAAUAAAUGACAACUCCAAUUUUUCAAAAAUCAUUUUUUCACAAUAAAAAUUGAGUCAUGACAUUGAGUGGGAACAUAUAUGAAAAAUACAAGUCCAUAAAUGCAUAAAAAAAUGAUAUUAAUUGAUUGACAUAACUUAAUAAUUUUUUCCAUAUAAAUCUUAGGAAAAAUAAUAAUAAUUUAUUUGUCACAAAAUAAUAAAAAAAAAGAACUAAGUUUUCAAAAAUGUCUUGCACCACAUAAUUCUAUUAUUGAUGUUUUUAAUAAUUUUUGUGCAAGAGUUGUUAGAUUUCUUUAUUUUCCAUUAUCACCCAAGACACAAAAAACAUGAUAUAUAUAUAUAUAUAUAUAUAUAUAUAUAUAUAUAUAUAUAUAUAUAUAUAUAUAUGUAUGUAUGUAUGUAUAUAUAUAAAGCAUUCAAAACAUUCUUUUGAUCUUUGAUCUCUGGAUAGGGAACCAACCUGAAUCCAUUUUAGAUUUUGUUGAAGAUGUAUGGAUCUUCUAAGGUUGUGGAGGGCACCAUCUUUCUUUGAAUUCUCUCUGAUGAUGGGAGCGGGAGAGAACAAGUUCCUUUUGUUUCAAAAUGUUGUUUUCAUACAAGGAACUAACACUUGAAUUUAUACCCUCCUGCCUUAGGGACCAUACCCUUUGGCUAUUGGGCCUCACAAGUCUUAGGCCCAUCAUCUAAGGCCUGUGAUGGCGUUGGGCUCUACACAUAGGUGGCCCAUACUCUUGAUCAAAUAGAAAUCAUAUAUAUAUGGAUAGCUAAAUCCCGACAAUGUUUAAUAUAAUGUAGGUCUAUAUUUAUUCUAUCAAUCUUCCACUUGGACCACAUAUAUUACAAAACAAUGUUCAUGAUAGUACUUUAUUGAGGUCAUCUUUGCUAUCCUAUUCAAAUAUCCUUAAACAAUCCGGUCUACUAAUUAUGCUAACAUAGGAUCAAAGUGGUCUUCGUUAAUCAUAAUUAUAACUAGACUCAUCAAUGAUCACAAUAUUAACAAAAUUAGCAACAUGGAUCAAGUAUGGAUGUGUAGCAUGGAAAUUACAUAGAAUGUGAUCUCUAAUAUGUCUAUUUCCAAUUGGUCCCACUUUAUGACUAAAAAAUAGUCAAAUUCCACUUUCAACACUUGAUGCUAAACUGCUUUUGAAAGUCAUCAUUUCAAUUCAGAAUAUUCAAACACAAUAGUCUUUUAAAAUCAAGGUCUGUACAGAUAACACAACAUAAUAUCACAUCAAGAAAACAAACACAAAAUCUAAAUACAAACUCCCACUAUACUAGCACAUCAUCAAUGGGUACAACACCCAUAUGUGUGACAUGCUCAUGAUAUACUUUGGGUGGCAAACCCUUAGUGAGCGGAUCCGCAAUCAUGGAGUUUGUGCUUAUGUGUUCAAUCGAUACUUGAAGACUCUGAACUCUUUCUUUCACAACCAAGAACUUGAUGUCAAUGUGUUUAGACUUUGAUGAAUUUCGGUUGUUCUUAGAAUACAAUUCUGCGGCCUUAUUAUCACAAUUGAUUCUCAAUGGUUUCUCAAUCCCACCAACAUUUAGCAACUGAGUGAUAAAAUUCCGCAACCAUAUCCCUUGGUUUGAUGCCUUGUAGCAAGCUAUGAAUUCUGCCUCCAUGGUGGAAGAAGCAAUAAGUGUUUGUUUAACACUUUUCCAUGAAAUUGCUCCUCCAACCAACAUGAAGAUGUAGCCUGAAGUGGAUCUCCUACUGUCAAGACAUCCCGCGAAAUCAGAGUCUGAAUAUCCCACGAUCUCUAAAUGACUAGAUCUACGGUAUGUGAGCAUAUAAUCUUUAGUUCUUUGUAAAUACCGCAAAACCCGUUUUGCCUUUUUCCAGUGAUCCAUACCUAGGUUUCUCAAAUAUCUGCCUAACAUUCCAACAAUGUACGCAAUAUCCGGGCGCGUACAAACUUGUGCAUACAUGAGACUUCCUAUUGCCGAGGCAUAGGGAAACCUCUCCAUAUCCUUCUUCUCAAGUUCAUUUUUCGGACAUUGGUGCAAACUAAAUUUAUCGCCUUUUGCCACAGGCGUGUCUCCUAGUGUACAAUUGCUCAUGCCAAAUCUUCUCAACACUUUAUCAAUGUAGGCCUUUUGUGAUAGCCCAAGUAUACCUCUUGAACGAUCCCUAUAGAUCUGUAUACCCAACAUAAAAGAUGCAUCACCAAGGUCCUUCAUAUCAAAUUUACUAGAUAGAAAUCGUUUGGUUUCAUGCAAAAGUCCUACAUCACUACUUGCAAGUAGAAUAUCAUUAACAUAUAGCACCAAUAUAAUGAAUUUUCUCCCACUAAACUUGAGGUAUAUGCAUUGAUCAACGGUGUUCUCCUUAAAACCAAAUGAAGUGAUCACCUGAUCAAACUUUCGGUACCAUUGUCGGGAUGCUUGCUUUAAACCAUAUAUGGACCUUUUUAAUCUGCAUACAAGUUGCUUUGAAUCAUUAGACUCAAAGUUCUCCGAUUGCACCAUGUAUAUUGUUUCAUCAAUGUUACCAUUAAGAAACACAGUUUUAACGUCCAUUUGAUGCAGCUCUAAAUCAUAAUGAGCUAGAAGUGCCAUGAUGAUUCUAAAGGAGUCCUUUGACAAAACCGGUGAAAAUGUCUCCUUAUAAUCAAUGUCUUCCUUUUGAGUGAAACCUUUUGCGACUAGGCGUGCCUUAUACAUAACAAUGUUGCCUUUUGAAUCCCGCUUGGUCUUAAAAAUCCAUUUACAACCAAUCGGUUUUACACCUUCAGGCAACUCUACUAAGUCCCAAACACCAUUGUCUUUUAUUGAUUUCAUCUCAUCCUUCAUGGCUUCUAUCCACUUUUCAGAGUCAAAACUUUGUUUGACUUGGCUACCUGAAAUUGGAUCGUCUUCCAUACCCAUGUCAAACUCAUGUUCUUGGAGAUAUACAACAUAAUCAUCUGAAAUUGUACUUCUUCUUUCUCUAGUGGAUCUCCUUAGUGGCACUUGUACUUGAGGUUCUUGAGUUACCUCUUCAUGAACUUGAAUCAGUUCUAUAACUUGAGUAGGAGGAAUCUCAGGUGUGUCUUGAAUUUCUGUUAUCGACUAUACAUUUUGAAUAGUGUCAUCAAACAUAAUAUAACGAUGUCCAGUCGUAAUAAUAAGAAUACUAACAUAUUCCUCUUCAAAAACCACCUUUCUUAACGGUUCUCUCCCACUUAACUCAACAUCCUCAAUGAACUUAGCAUUGCCCGUUUCAAAGAAGGAUCUACUUGAGGGGUCAUAAAAUUUGAAGCCUUUCGACCUUUCAGAAUACCCUACAAAGUAGUAGCUCACUGUUCUGGAGUCCAAUUUCUUUUCAUUUGGCUUAUAAGGUUUAGCUUCAGCUGGACAACCCUAAACAUGCAAGUGCCUAAUACUAGGUUUCUUGCUAGUCCAUAACUCAUAUGGGGUUUUGGCUACUGCUUUGCUUGGUACUCUAUUCAAAAUGUAAACUGCAGUUUUGAUAGCUUCGCCCCAAAGUGAUUCUGGUAAGGUGGAAUGACUGAUCAUACUUCUUACCAUAUCCUUAAGAGUACGGUUUCACCUUUAUGCUAUACCAUUUUGGCUUGGAGUCCCUGGUAUGGUGUACUGAGGAACGAUACCACACUCCAUCAAAUAUUUGGCGAAUGGCCCUGAACGUUGUUCAUCGGAUUCAUCAUAUCUACCAUAGUAUUCACCUCCACGGUCAGAUCCGACGACCUUUAUUUUCUUGCUUAAUUGGUUCUCAACUUCAGCUUUGAAAUUCUUGAACACAUCCAAUGACUGAGACUUCUCAUGAAUCAAAUAAAGAUAGCCAUAGCGUGAGUAAUCGUCAAUGAAAGUGAUAAAAUAUUGUUGUCCAUUCCAAGGUGUAGGAAAUGGACCACAAAGGUCCGUAUGUAUCAAUUCCAAGACGUCACUGCACCUAUUGGCAUCCUUUUUCCUCAUAUUUGUUUGUUUACCCUUAAUGCACUCUAUAUAGACUUGAAAGUUUGAGAAAUCAAGUGGAUCAAGAAUUCCUUCUAACACAAGCCUUUGAAUUCGUUGAUUUGAAAUAUGACCCAAACGCCUAUGCUAUAACAUUGAUGAAUUCUCAUUCAUUAAUUUUCGCUUAAUGCCAUAAUUACUUGAAUGCAAGGUUUCAUUUCCAUUAGUGACCUUUAUGUUCAAUUUGUAUAAUUUGUCUGUUAGACUACUUGUACCGAUAACGUUUGAAUUUAGAUAAAGACUAACCAUUCCAUUUCUAAAUGAACAACAAUAUCCAAAUUUGUCCAGACAUGAAAUAGAAAUUAAAUUCCGUCUAAACGACGAUACUACAAAAGUCUCUUCCAAAUCCAAAGUAUAUCCAAAGUCUAACUGUAAUAUAAAAAGACCAAUAGCCUUGACUGAAGCCUUGUUGCCAUUUCCCACAUAAAUGUAUCUUUCACCAUCAGUUGGUAUUCGGCUCAUUAGGCAACCUUGCAUAGUGACACUUAUGUGAGUAGUUGCACCCGUAUCUAUCCACCAAUUGUCAGUAGGCACUACAACUAAAUUAAUUUCUAAACAAACAAAGUUGAGAAGUGUACCUUUCUUUUCACGCCAAGCAGCGUAUUUGGUACAUGUCUUCUUCAUAUGACCAGCCCUUUUGUAAAAGAAACAAGUGAUUUCCUUAUCUUGUUUCUUCUGCACCUUUUGCUUUGAUGUCCUAGAAACUGUAGUUUGUUUUCCUUUAUUGUCCCUCUUUCUUUUCUUGUUAGUACCAAAUCCCUAAGAUGUGGAAGCCAAGUGAGCACUUUCUAUCUUCUCUUGUUUCAAUCUCUCUUCCUUUUGUACACACUAAGCAAUAAGCUCAUUCAAAGUCCAUUUUUCCUUUUAUGUGUUAUAACUGAUUUUGAAUGGACUAAAUUGUGUAGGCAGAGAGAUCAAGACCAAGUGCACGAGUAUGUCUUCCGAAAACUCUAACUUUAGUGCCUUGAGUCUAGUCACAAGAUUAGACAUUUCCAUAAUGUACUCCCUUAUAUUCUCUUUCCCUUUAUACCGUAUAGAGACAAGCUUACUAAGAAUAGUGUUUGUCUCAACCUUUUCGUUUGCAGCGAAUCGUUUUGCUAUUUGGUCCAAGAAUGCCUUGGCUCAGGUUUCCUCAGGUAUUCACCCCUUAUAACUUCUGGAAUUGAGUGCUUCAUUAUCAUUAGACUCAUAUGAUUGGAUUGCUCCCAUUUUUCCAUAGUAGACCUUUGCUCAGUAGUACUGGCACUAGUAAGAUCUGAAAGGCGAUCCUCUCUUAAUGAAUAGUCUAAAUCCAUGCACCCGAGCACAAUUAUAACAUGCUCCUUCCAUUUCUUGAAGUUUGUUCCAUUAAGCACAAGAAUGUUAUUGACAUUUGCAGAUAUAGAAGAUGCUAAAUUCAUAAUAAUAUAGCUCACAAUCAGUUAUAUAAUCAUCACACAUACAUGAAUAAAUAAAAAUUUAACAUAUAUAUGUAUAUGCAUGUGGACAUAUAACAAUAUACCUAACACAAACAUCAAUAUUCAGUCUUUGGACAUAAAUAUCAACUUGUAAUUGGCAUCAUUUUCAAUAUUAAUUUAUAAAUAUUGACAAUAAAACCAAAAACAAUAUGUUUGUCUUUGGACUAACAUACUGAAUACAAGAUAAACUUUAUAUGUCACAUAUUUAUGAUUACUUUAUUUAUUAUUAUAUUAAAAUAAUCUUCCUUUGGGUCGAUUAUUUUAAAUAAUAAUAAUAAUAAUAACAUGUUUAGAUAUUAUAAAAUAAAAAUAAACAAAUUAUAUAAUAUAAGUUACUUUGGCAACUGAUAUACAUAAUUUAUUUAUUUUAAAAUAUUAAACACAAACAUAACAAGAAAUAAUAAAUUUCCAAAAAGAAUACAGAAAUUCAUCAGAAUCAUAAUUUUUAUAUACAGAAUCAUUAACAAACAUAAUGGUUCUAUAGUUCAGUUGGUUGAGCACAAGGCUUUCAACCUUGUGGUCAUGGGUUCAAGCUUCCAUAGUGAGCGUUUUUUUUUUAUUCCUUUUUCACUGGGCUUGACAUUUAUGGUACAGAAUCAUCAAGAAACAUAAUGGUUCUGUAGCUCAGUUGGUUGAGCACAAGGCUUUCAACCAAUGUUUUAAAAACCAGACCGGACCGGUCGGUCCAACCGGUUCAAUCGUCGACCGCUCACCAAUCCGGUCCGGUUUGCCUUAUCAAACCGUUUAGACAUUGAACCGAUCAUGAACCACCUAAAUCAGCGGUCGGAUCGGUGAACCGAUGGAACCGGACAGUUCUAAAUGAACCGAUCGGUUCAAAUUGGCCCAUCAUUUUGCAAGCAGAAGACCCCAUCAUAUAAAAACUAAACAAAACACCAUACUGGACCAUGACAAAAAACCAUACUGGGCCUAGCUUAGUGACAAAGCCCACACCCACUCAAUUGUUUUAAGCAGGCUGAAUCUUUGAGCCCACAAGAUGGGAUAGUGUUGUUGCUUUCAACGAGGAUACCUUUUAUAGGCAUCCUUUGCACCCUUAUUUCUCUCAAAUUUCGAUGUGGGAUUGCAAACUAGUAUUAAUGAAAAAAAACUAACAACUUCAGCCAAGAGGAUUUGAAGCUGGGACCUUACGUUUGGAAGUAAACUUGACACCACUCGGCUACAAGCUAUUUGAUAUUUGAUUUUCCAAACAAAAUAAUAUAUAUUUGAUUUUAAAUUUUUUUAUAAUAUUAAAUAAAAAUAAUAUGAUAUUUUUAAAAAUUAUAAAAUUAGCUAAAAUUUUCAUUUUUAAUAUAUUCACAUUUAAAUAUUAUACACAUUUCAUUUAAUAAAAUUUAAAAUAUUAAUUUGAUAUAUUCAUAUAUAUUUUAAAAUUUUUAUAAUUAUUUUUAAUUUUAAUAAUAUAUAAAUUACAUAUUUAUGACGUCACCGGUUCGACCGCGGUUCGACCACCAGUUCGACCGGUGAACCGUGAACCAGUAACUUUUCUAGUUCAAUGACCGGUCUGGUUCUGAAAACAUUGCUUUCAACCUUGUGCUCAUGUGUUCGAGCUUCCUUAGUGGGCAUUUUUUUUUAUUCUUUUUUUUUUUACUGGGCUUGGACAAAUCACACGUAUUUGUGCUUUCCAUAUAUAUAUAUAUAUUAAAGCAUGAAUAGUGCACGAACGGCGCACCAGUGACGCUCGAAUUGCACACCAACGGAGCAUGAAUGAUGACUUGUAGCCCCAAAAAAUGGCGUUUCCAAUGGCGCCUCCAAAGGCGCCUUAAACGACGCCUGAAAUGACGCUUCUGGAGCACUUGAAAACGGUGCUUCUAGACCGCCUGAACGGCGUCGUUAAAGAACCUGAAUGGCGCUUAAAAAAUGGCGCCUUAACGACUUCGAAAUGACGCUUGAGAACAGCGCCUGCAACACAGUUUGGAACAGCCUCUAAAGGGCGCUUGGAGUGCGCCUGGAAUAGCCUUUGAAGGGUGCCUGGAUUGGCGUCUGAAGCGGUCUUGUUGCGUGCCUUGAAUGGCGCCUGAACGACGCCUCAAAUGGUGACUUUUGAAUGCCUAAAAAAGGCGCCAGAAUGACACCUAAACUGCAUCCAUUUUGAACGCCGUCUUAACGGCGCCUGAAAUGGUGCUGAAUGGCACCUAGAAUUAGCCUAGAUUUAUUUUCUGUUGUUUCUGUAUUAAUAAGUGUUUUGGUGAAAAUGGGAGGCUCUGAUACCAAUUGUUAGAUUUAUUUAUUUUCCAUUAUCACUCAAGACACAAAAAAACAUGAUAUAUAUAUAUAUAUAUAUAUAUAUAUAUAUAUAUAUAUAUAUAUAUAUAUAUGUAUAUCAAACAUUCAAAACAUUCUUUUGAUCUUUGAUCUUUGGAUAAGGAACCAACUUGAAUCCAUUUUAGAUUUUGUUGAAGAUGUAUGGAUCUUCUAAGGCUGUGGAGGGCACCACUUUUCUUUGAAUUCUCUCUGAUGAUGGGAGCGGGAGAGAACAAGUUUCUUUUGUUUCAAAACGUUGUUCUCAUAUAAGAAACUGACACUUGGAUUUAUACCCUCUUGCCUCAGGGACCAUACCCUUUGGCUAUUGGGCCUCACGAGUCUUAAGCCCAUCAUCUAAGGCCCGUGAUGGCAUUGGGCUCUACACAUAGAUGGCCCAUACUCUUGAUCAAAUAGAAAUCAUAUAUAUAUGGAUAGCUAAAUCCCGACAAUGUUUAAUAUAAUGUAGGUCUAUAUUUAUUCUAUCAAGAGUGUCAUAGAAAAUCAUUUUUACAAAGUUGCCCUAAUUUUUUUUUAUAUAAUUUUUCACGCCUCAAAAAUAAUUAUUACAAUAAUAAUUUGCUUAAAUAAAAUACAUGAAAAAUAAAUUAAAAAAUCAUAAAAUAAUCCCUAUUAUGAAUAUUCACUAAUAUUUUUAGGAAUAUUAAAAUAUAUAGAUAAUAAAUUUUACACUGAAUUUUUUUUAAUUAACUAAAUUGAAUAAUUAAUAAAUUAAUACAAAAUUAAAUACAAACAACUCAGAAAAAUAUAAGAGGUCAUGCAAAAAAUAAAAUAACUAUAAAAUAUUUUUUGUUUCCAAUAGAAAAAAUAGAAAAAAAAAAAAGCUAGAAAAUUAAGAAAAAUGAGAGGAGUUCUCACUCUUGGCUAAUUUUGUUUUCAUGCUCUCAAGAUUCCAUUAAACUAUUUGCUUUUCCGUUUUGACAUCUUGAAGUUUGUUAAUCAAAUCAUGCACACACGAAUAUAAAAUAAAGAAAAAAUGCAAAAGUUUUAAUGUGGUUCAACGAUUAAUGUGAUUCCUAUGCUUAUGGAGUGCACCAACACUUAAUAAUCCACUAAUCAUAAAAAAUAAGAAGAAUUAUAGUGGUAAAACUUUCAAAAAAACCCUCUUAAUUGUGGUCACACUUUCUAAAAAACAAAAUCCUAAACAUAGAAGGGUUAAAUAUAUAAUGGGGACAAACUUGUCAUCAUUAAAAAAAAAAAAAAAAAAUCUCCAAGAGGUGUUGCCCCCUUCAACUAGCUAACCAAAUAACUCGACUUUUGACAUUCUAAGCAAAAUGCAACAAAACUAAUUUAGGUUUCACAAUCUAAUAAAGUUCAUGUUUGAAAAUCACUUUCUACAUUGAGAUUGAAGUCGUAACUUUGAGGAAAAAAAAAUCAUAUUUUUUUAAUUGUUUUACAUGAAUGUUUUAAAAAAUCACAUCUUUUAUCAAUUUUUGUCAAUAAAAUUAUAAGGGAAUGUCGUUUUAAAUCACUUUUAAAUAUAUUUCAGAAGGGAUCUAAUGUGUAAUUAAAGUUGUUUCAUUUUUUAUAAAUAUAAAUAAAUAAAGUUUGCAUAAUAUGCAUAGUGAUGCAUGGUAAUAACAUCUGAGUAGUGUUUGUGCCCCGAAGCCAAUGUUGAAAAAAAAUAUAAUAAUUGAUUAAAAAUGAUGAAAUAAUCCUUAUAUUUGUGAAUUUAUCCCCUUCCAUGCUUUUGUCUAAAGAGUAACUCAUUUUUUUUUUUUAUAUAAAUGUCAUUCUAUAUUUUGAAAGAAAUGGUUAUUUUUACAAGAAAACAAAAAAUGUACUUUUGUCAAAAUAAGGUUGAAAAAGGAUGAAAUGUUAGAUUUCUAAAAUUGGAUUUCCAAUGAUCCUCUUAAUCAAAUUGCCCAAAAAAAAAAUAAUUAAAUUUUGUUUUUUUAAUGGGUGAAGAUAUAAAUCCAAAAAAAAAAAAUCAAUUCAAAAACACUUUUACACUAUUAGCAAUAAUAAUAAUAAUAAUAAUAAUAAUAAUAAUUAAUAAAUAUAGAACAAUAAAAAUAAUAGUGCAAGACGUAUAUCUCCUUUUAUCCUCACUCUUUUGUAUUUUUGUUAAUCAAACCAUGCAUACACAUGAAUAGAAAAAAAAAAAAAACAUAAAAUUUUCGAUGUGAUCCCUAUAUUUACAGAGUGCAUGAAUACUUAAUCAAAGAAAAGAGGAGUACAAUGAUGAAGUUCUAAAACAAACUUGUCAUACUACUUUUUGUGCUUUGAAGCCAAUUAUAUAUAUAUAUAUAUAUAUAUAUAUAAAUCAAAAAGUAUAAUUCAUAUAUAUUUUUUCAUUAUUAGAAAUAAUAAUAAUUAAUAAAUAUAGAACCACCUAGAUCUCCCUUCAUCCUCUCUUUUUUGUAUUUUUACUUCUUACUCUUCCUUUUUCUUUUUCAUUCUUUAUUCUUUAACCAAUCUCUAGAAAAAGCUUUAUCACUAGGGAGAGCUUUAUCUUUCCAAGCUUUUAGUGUAUCUGGAACAAAAGAAGAAAUCAUCUCUCUUUAGUCCUUAGUCUUGAAGUCAGCACAGGGCAAAGAAUAUGGGUGCCUUAUAAUCUUUUAUAAAGAACAAAGAAUAAUUGUUCUUUAUAAAUUAGAAAGAAAACUCUCACAGGUUUCAUCACUUUUACUCUCUCUCUCUCUCUCUCUCUCACCAGUUUCAUAUAUACUGAGAGAUCUCACCACUUUUUUUCCUGCACCAGUUUCUUAUCAGCUUCAGGUAAAUCCAUUUUUAUUUUCACUUCUUUCUUUAAUGUUGAAUUUUAGUUGAUAUUUACAUAAGAGCUAGCCAUGAUGGUCAAUUUUUUCAUGUUGAGUUAUCUAUAGAUGAGGUUCAAGCAUCAAUGCACCAACCUUAUCAUCUUUAAAAAGAUGUAAAAGAGAAACAAUUUUUUUUUUUUAAAGUAAAACAGUCUCAAAAAUCAAAGCAAAUAUUUUAACUAAAUAAUAAAAAAAAAUUAAUUAACAACAACAAGAAAAUGCCACAAAGAAUUGGCUUUGAUGAUCCAUUUAUGAUUGGAUUGGAUAGGAGUGGUGACAUUUUAGUUUUUUUUUUUUUUUUUUUUUAAACAGUACCAAAUAUAUGAUGCUCUAUUAACAUGCUUAUGUUCUAAUAAAAUUGCUUCAAGUGUCCAUUAUAUGCUUAAUUAUUUAAUUAGUAGUGACAUCAAAUUAAAAGUGCGUUUAACAAUAUUCUUACUUGAAGUAUUUUAUCCAAAGUGUUUUUAGGAGAAUCAUUUCCUAAAUUUUAUUAAACACCAAAUUGUUUUUCUUUAAAAAAACUUUUCAUGCUAAAACGUUUUUAAAAUCACUGUGAAAUAGACUCUAAAUCAAUCACUUUUGUCUAAUCUUGUGAGUAUGGAUGGUAGCUCUCAUGGCUGCAACCGACGUGGCAGUGCAUUUAUACUGGAAUGGAAGAGUGAAAACCAAAAAAUAUGAUGUUGUUUAUGAAGGUGGCGACAUGAAUGUGAUGCCUAUUAAGCUCAACCAUGGAACUACGUAUUUUGGAUUGUUGGAUAAAAUCUACGCAACUACAGGCAUAAAGAGGACGGAUUUUGAGUUGAACAUCAUAUGCAGAUACCCUAUAUCUUCAAGGGAAUAUAAGCCCAUCCCAAUAAAGAAUGACGAGGCCGUAGACCUCAUGUUGAAAGUGCCAUGCAGAUCAUUUCGAGUCUACUGUGUGGAGAUAUAUUUGGAGGCAACGCGUUGUGUGAAAUCUCUUCUCCGGGAAUCUGCUCAAAUGUGGGAAUCUGAGUGUUAGGAUAUAGUAAUUUUAUUGUGUUGAAUUGGCUUAUAUAUCAAAUCAGUCAGUGUUCAGGGAUUGAAUUAAGUUUGGUAUGGCAUGAUAAUAUGUGAUCUAGUUUGUAUAAUUCUAUUUUUUUUCUCUCAUUUUGUAUAUUAAUAACCAUAUUCAAGAAAAAAUUUAUAAUUUUUGUUUAUUUUCUCUUUUUG